GGACCCGUGGCGCAGUGGUAGCGCGUGUGAUUCCAGUAGUUGAGCAUCCACAAGGUCAUCCGUUCAAUCCGGGUCGGGUUCA
Molecule: non-coding RNA, 82 nt
Organism: Coniophora puteana RWD-64-598 SS2
Lineage: Eukaryota; Fungi; Basidiomycota; Agaricomycetes; Boletales; Coniophoraceae
Source: the annotation of a RefSeq genome assembly